Molecule: long non-coding RNA, 2151 nt
Filed under: Sorghum bicolor (sorghum)
Lineage: Eukaryota; Viridiplantae; Streptophyta; Magnoliopsida; Poales; Poaceae
Description: long non-coding RNA (SBIC_LNC009492)
Source: RNAcentral
GAUGUUCUCCAGGGGUCUAAUUGCACAAACUGUGACUCAGGUGAAUAGUGUUAUAAGGACUUGUUUGUAGAUGUUUUGUUGAAUCUUUGGAAAUUCAUAUCUGGAGUUUGGUAGCUCCAAUUUUGGUGAACCAAAUUUUGUUGUGCUUCUUGAGAUGUCUAAUUUUUAUUAAAAAUAUGAAACUGACCAUGUUUUAUAGUAAAAUAAUUAGUUAUGAAUUAUGUCUUUUAAUUAUGCUUAAAAGGAAGAAAUUCAUAUCUUUUGCUGUAUAGUUUAUUUUAAGAUGAAACUUUUAUGGUAGACUAAUGAUUAUGUGUGUGUGCUGUGGUUAAGUUUUUAGAUUCAUUGGAUGACAUAUGAUUAAGUUAUUGAUUUAUCUUGUGUAGUGCUUAUUAAAUAGUUUACAAUUAAACUAAAAAGGAAUAAAUGUAAAAUAUGGUUCCUCUACCUUUAUAUGAAGUUGUUAUAACAUAUAGAUACAUAAUUUAGCUAUGUGUUUGUAUAAAAUGUUGAGUUUCUUAUUUAUCUUGCUGUUACAUGCUUCCUUGUGAUGGAAAUUUAUCUUUUUCAUAGAAAUUGCUAUACUUAUCCAAAUGGCAUGAAAUUUAUACAGUAGACUUUAGAGAACAUGUAUGAGCUUCUGUAGUUUUCUCAGAAUUUACUGUGUACUUUUGAUAUAUGGUUAUUACUUAGUCUAUUUAUCUAAAUAAAUUAAUAAAGACAUGAAAUGUAUUUAUUUAGGGAUGGCUAUGAUGUUUUCUAGUAUCUCUUUGAUGUAUUUCAACUGUUGGUGAGCUGGGUUUUGCCCAGAUUCAAGUUUGGAACAUAAAUGAAAUAUGAUUUCUCUAUAAUUUAAUUGUUAGUGGUUUCUCGAUAGUUUUUGGAACAUUAUGAAUUGCUCUAGGCAGAUAAUGUUGGAUGUGAAACUUGUCUAUAACAAAGUUGUAUAUAAUUCAUGUAUCUACCUGGUGUUAAAUUUUGGUGGCAUUUGGCUCUAUAGUUUCUGAGUUAUGCCUGUUUAAAUUUAAGUUUCAGAAAUGGUUCCUUUUUGUCAAAUCCUGGAUCAGUUUCUGUAGUUGUGCAAUUUCGACCUACUAAACUUAUGAAUCAUGCUUUCAUGAUAGAAGAUGAAUUGUAGUAAUUUUCAUAAGCUUUCCAAAAUGUUAUGGAUCAUGAAUUUUGAUGAUCUAGAACUCUGGUUAUAGAUGUAUGAAUCUUAAUGUCUGAUUCUGUCCAAGGUCUGGACAGAAUUGUUUAUUCAUACUGUUUGGCCAUGUUAUCUAUUAAAUCAGUUCUCGAAGAUAGUAACAAAGUUGUAGAAAAUUAUAUAAGCUUUCCAGAAAGUCUAAUAUCACCUUUAUUGGAUGCUUGGAUCUCUAAUUAUGGUUGAAUGAAGUUGUGUGUUUGCUGCUGUCCUGGUUAUGUGUGCUAAUAGAGUUGAUUGUUUUUUUAGCUAGCCUUUACUUAAAUAAUGAGUAGCUUAAUUUCCAAAUUAGAAUUUGAGUGCUUUUGGGAUUGUGUGAUGACCUGAGGUCAUCAAUCUUAAUGACCUUUGGCAUUUAAUUAUUGUUUGAUGUUAAUACUUAAUUACUGCCAUUAAUAUUUAAUUAAGAAUUGAUUAAAAGAAAUAGAAAACCUAAUCAUUUUAGGUUUUGUUUGAUCUUUGGGAUUGAUUGACAACCAGUGGUUGCUUAGCAUGAUAUGCUCCCUGGUUAUGGAUUAUUUCAUAUAAAUGAUCUUUGUUGUCUGAUAACUACACAACCUUACUUAAUGAAGAUGAUAAAAUUUGCUUAGUAGUAAUCUAUGUUUUGAUAGCUAAGUUAGUUGUUUCUAUACCGUGAAGGUAAGUUGUACUCGAGGUAGUUAUGUUUGUUGUUAUCAUCCAAGAACAUGUAACCUGUCUUUAUCAUGUCAUGAGCAUCUCAUUGAUCAUGCAUAUGCACUUCUACGUGUAGACUACGCUCCGGAGGAAUCUGAUCCUCAGUGGGUUGCUUCUGAGUUUGUGGAUCCAGCUGGUUUUCCUGGUUUUUCUGAGUUGUCGGACUUCCCUUCCCACCAAGGCAAGCCCCGGACAUCAAACCCUAUCCUUGUAUUUUCAUAAAGUUAUUUAUAUCACUUGAGUUAAUAUGAUGCAUUAGGUGAGUAGGAGUU